This 1209-nucleotide ribosomal RNA is filed under the name Hymenochaetales sp. Its description in RNAcentral is "eukaryotic LSU rRNA". The stretch from base 575 to 1209 matches the Rfam family "Eukaryotic large subunit ribosomal RNA", at positions 1 to 620 of the family's 3401-position model. The record is from RNAcentral. Lineage: Eukaryota; Fungi; Basidiomycota; Agaricomycetes; Hymenochaetales.
GGGCUUGAUGCUGGCUCCUGCAAUGGAGUAUGUGCUCAGUCCUCUUAUCCAACCAACCCCUGUGCACUUAAAUAUUGAUGAAGAUGCAGUCUCUCCGGUUUUCCAGGAGCAACUAGGCUUUGCGGCUUGGUUAAGAUUGUACUCUUUGUCAACAACUAUAAACCCCUGUAUUUGUAUUGUUGAAUGUCAUCUUUUAAUAAAAUACAACUUUCAACAACGGAUCUCUUGGCUCUCGCAUCGAUGAAGAACGCAGCGAAAUGCGAUAAGUAAUGUGAAUUGCAGAAUUCAGUGAAUCAUCGAAUCUUUGAACGCACCUUGCGCUCCUUGGUAUUCCGAGGAGCAUGCCUGUUUGAGUGUCAUGAAAUUAUCAACCUCUCUGAUUUUGUCAGAGUAAGGAUUGGAAUUGGGAGUUUUUGCUGGUCGCUUGAAUGUUGGUCAGCUCUCCUUGAAUGCAUUAGCUUGGACGUUGCUCCAGUGCGGUACGCGGUGUGAUAAUUAACUCACCCAUGGUAAAUCCGUUUUUGGAGACUUUGAAGUCUAGCUUCGAAUCGUCUUAGGACAAUAUUUGAUUAUUUGACCUCAAAUCAGGUAGGACUACCCGCUGAACUUAAGCAUAUCAAUAAGCGGAGGAAAAGAAACUAACAAGGAUUCCCCUAGUAACUGCGAGUGAAGCGGGAAAAGCUCAAAUUUGAAAUCUGGCAGUUUCGACUGUCCGAGUUGUAAUCUGGAGAAGCGUUUUCCGUGUCGGACCGUGUACAAGUCUCUUGGAACAGAGCGUCAUAGAGGGUGAGAAUCCCGUCCAUGACACGGACUACCGAUGCUUUGUGAUACGCUCUCGAAGAGUCGAGUUGUUUGGGAAUGCAGCUCAAAAUGGGUGGUAAAUUCCAUCUAAAGCUAAAUAUUGGCGAGAGACCGAUAGCGAACAAGUACCGUGAGGGAAAGAUGAAAAGCACUUUGGAAAGAGAGUUAAACAGUACGUGAAAUUGUUGAAAGGGAAACGCUUGAAGUCAGUCGCGUUGUCCAGGACUCAGCCUUGCUUCUGCUUGGUGUAUUUCCUGGUUAACGGGUCAACAUCGAUUUUGGCCGGUGGAUAAAGUCAUUGGGAAUGUGGCACCUUCGGGUGUGUUAUAGCCCUUUGUCACAUACGUCGGCUGGGAUCGAGGACCGCAGCAUGCCCUUUGGGCCGGGGCUUGUCCCACGUACAUGCUA